UAACCCUUGCCCAUCCUUUGAUGGGCAAGUAGCGAGUGAGGCAGUGAGCCAAAUUGGCUCUUGCAUUCGCGGAGCCGAUAGGCUAGUCUCCACAGUAGUAAUUUUACAAUUUAGAUUAGGUUUGGAUACUGUCUUUCUCAUCUGACCUCCCAAGGCACAGCCUUCUUCUCCAAAAGCUACUUUGAGGUCUCCUUGAUUGAUGAAUGGCUUAUUGCUGCUAGGGAGUAAAGUAUGGAGUUAGAGGUCCAAAAGCAUAGGUUAAAGAGUGUGGCAGAACAAGUUUAUGUUAAUUCUUAUUCAUUUCUUCCAUAAAAAGUUUUUCACUUUUUUUUUUUCUCUACAAUCUUUAAUCUUCAUUACUUUAUUUAUUCAUAAUCCAAAUUUCUGACAUGAUAGCUGCGUUUUCAAUAGAAGAACAAGAGCAGGGAGAGUGCAACCUCUGUGUAACUCUUGUGAUUCCUUGUUUGGUGAGAUGGAAUUGUAAUUUCAGUCCUACCAAACUCAUGGUGGAAUUGCAAUUCUGUUGAAUCCUGUUGAACCCUGGAAUUGUAAUUUCAUGGUAAAUUACUAUUUUACUAUUUUCUUAUUAUUAUAUUAUUAUACAUGGACAUUUUAAUCUUUAUUUA
Ipomoea triloba (trilobed morning glory) is the source of this 626-nucleotide long non-coding RNA. RefSeq lists it as uncharacterized. The record is from RefSeq and is a predicted model, not a curated record. The transcript has 2 exons. NCBI's taxonomy places the organism in Eukaryota, Viridiplantae, Streptophyta, Magnoliopsida, Solanales, Convolvulaceae.